Long non-coding RNA from Cotesia glomerata, 398 nucleotides. RefSeq lists it as uncharacterized. The transcript has 2 exons. NCBI's taxonomy places the organism in Eukaryota, Metazoa, Arthropoda, Insecta, Hymenoptera, Braconidae. The record is from RefSeq and is a predicted model, not a curated record.
UUAUUUUAUUUUUAAAACUACCAAGAUAUUUGCAGUUCUGACUUUCUUAUAUAUUGGUUAAUCGUUCACUAUUAAUGAAAUUAUAAGAAAUAUUUUUUAUCUAGCUAAGUGUAAUGCUGUUGACUCAAUGGAAUGUGAAGAAUACAUAAGCCUUGAACAACUAUUCCCAGAUGAUGAGAAUGAUGGCAAUGAUGAUGAAGAAUUACCACGUGAACCCCUCAUCGUCUAUUGUUACUAAAAAUCCUCAACAAUAUAGGAAAAGAACUAAAGGAAGAAAAAAUCCACCCAAUGAAGACGAGAAAUUCUAUAGAAGCGAAAGGUUAAGAAAAUAAUAAAGCAAGAAGAGAAAUUAUUUCAACUGAAAUGUCAACAUAAAGAAGAGAUACAUAAUCUAACAA